GCAUGGCUUUUGCACAAAUACAGAGAUUUUUUUUUUUUUUUUGCUUUCAUCAUCAGCAGUGGCUUUGUGGACAAGUCAGUCUCCGGUGACAGAGAUCAUGAGUGGAAUGCUGCUUCAAUGGCACCUGAAAGCUUAAUCUUCCUUUGGAGGGAAGUACUGUGUGUUAUUUCUCUAUUUCUGACCAGAUUAUGCACCUGUUGUAAGAAAGUGAAUCAAAGACAAGGUGAUGAAAAAGGAAAGAGUUGCAUUUGGAUGAGAGAUCAGUCACAGAGACUGAAAGUGACAGCCCUAUUGCAUUUGUUUGUGGACUUUGGAGACAGGCAGAAAGGAUAAGCAAUUGACAAGGAGAAGAGACCGACCAUGAUGUAGAAAAGAGAUGCCUUUAGGCCUGGGUCCAAGAAAGACUGACUGGAGUCCAAGCCAACAAUAGCCCCAAGCCUGUCCUUCUUUUCAACCACUGCAGUGUUCCCUCUGGUCUCAUCAAAAACAGAUGGGAAAUAUAUUGCAGAUCAUUCACCUAAUUAAGAAGGGGUUCACUUUCUUUUAUGUCCAGUAAGG
Coturnix japonica (Japanese quail) is the source of this 558-nucleotide non-coding RNA. NCBI's taxonomy places the organism in Eukaryota, Metazoa, Chordata, Aves, Galliformes, Phasianidae. The record is from RefSeq and is a predicted model, not a curated record.